GAUGAACGCUGGCGGCGUGCCUAAUACAUGCAAGUCGAGCGAACAGAUGAGGAGCUUGCUCCUCUGACGUUAGCGGCGGACGGGUGAGUAAAACGUGGAUAACCUUCCUAUAAGACUGGGAUAACUUCGGGAAACCGGAGCUAAUACCGGAUAAUAUAUUGAACCGCAUGGUUCAAUAGUGAAAGACGGUUUUGCUGUCACUUAUAGAUGGAUCCGCGCCGCAUUAGCUAGUUGGUAAGGUAACGGCUUACCAAGGCAACGAUGCGUAGCCGACCUGAGAGGGUGAUCGGCCACACUGGAACUGAGACACGGUCCAGACUCCUACGGGAGGCAGCAGUAGGGAAUCUUCCGCAAUGGGCGAAAGCCUGACGGAGCAACGCCGCGUGAGUGAUGAAGGUCUUCGGAUCGUAAAACUCUGUUAUUAGGGAAGAACAAAUGUGUAAGUAACUAUGCACGUCUUGACGGUACCUAAUCAGAAAGCCACGGCUAACUACGUG
This 497-nucleotide ribosomal RNA is filed under the name uncultured bacterium. RNAcentral's name for it is "partial 16S ribosomal RNA". It matches the Rfam family "Bacterial small subunit ribosomal RNA", at positions 28 to 507 of the family's 1533-position model. The record is from RNAcentral.